AUUGAACGCUGGCGGCAUGCCUUACACAUGCAAGUCGAACGGUAACAGGUCUUCGGAUGCUGACGAGUGGCGAACGGGUGAGUAAUACAUCGGAACGUGCCUAGUAGUGGGGGAUAACUACUCGAAAGACUGGCUAAUACCGCAUGAGAUCUACGGAUGAAAGCAGGGGAUCGCAAGACCUUGUGCUACCAGAGCGGCCGAUGGAAGAUUAGGUAGUUGGUGGGAUAAAAGCUUACGAAGCCGACGAUCUGUAGCUGGUCUGAGAGGACGAUCAGCCACACUGGGACUGAGGCCCGGCCCAGAAUCCUCCGGGGGGCAGCAGUGGGGAAUUUUGGACGAUGGGCGAAAGCCUGAUCCAGCAAUGCCACGUGCAGGAUGAAGGCCUUCGGGUUGUAAACUGCUUUUGUACGGAACGAAAAGCCCCGGGUUAAUACCCUGGGGUCAUGACGGUACCGUAAGAAUAAGCACCGGCUAACUACGUGCCAGCCGCCGCUGUAA
This 498-nucleotide ribosomal RNA is filed under the name uncultured bacterium. RNAcentral describes it as "partial 16S ribosomal RNA". It matches the Rfam family "Bacterial small subunit ribosomal RNA", at positions 30 to 523 of the family's 1533-position model. The record is from RNAcentral.